GAAAUCGUGACCAGCCAUGCCGCGUGGAGUGUAUGAGGGCCCUCUGGGUUGUAAACUUCUUUUAUCUGGGAUUAAAAAAGGGCAUUCUUACUCACUUGACGGUACCGUAUGAAUAAGCACCGGCUAACUCCGUGCCAGCAGCCGCGGUAAUACGGAGGGUGCAAGCGUUAUCCGGAUUCACUGGGUUUAAAGGGUGCGUAGGUGGGCAGGUAAGUCAGUGGUGAAAUCUCCGAGCUUAACUCGGAAACUGCCAUUGAUACUGUCUGUCUUGAAUAUCCUGGAGGUGAGCGGAAUGUGUCAUGUAGCGGUGAAAUGCUUAGAUAUGACAUAGAACACCAAUUGCGAAGGCAGCUCACUACGCGGUUAUUGACACUGAGGCACGAAAGCGUGGGGAUCAAACAGGAUUAGAUACCCUGGUAGUCCACGCCCUAAACGAUGGAUACUCGACAUUUGCGAUACACUGUUGGUGUCUGAGCGAAAGCAUUAAGUAUCCCACCUGGGAAGUACGACCGCAAGGUUGAAACUCAAAGGAAUUGACGG
RNAcentral lists this ribosomal RNA (540 nucleotides) under uncultured Sphingobacteriales bacterium. Its description in RNAcentral is "bacterial SSU rRNA". It matches the Rfam family "Bacterial small subunit ribosomal RNA", at positions 377 to 916 of the family's 1533-position model. The record is from RNAcentral. Lineage: Bacteria; Pseudomonadati; Bacteroidota; Sphingobacteriia; Sphingobacteriales.